UUACUCUCUGGUCAUUUUUGCAUCAUACGGACAGAGAAAUAUCAAUCUGAAUGAACGUACCGUACAGCUGGUUAUUUUCGAGGGUGUUCAAUUUCGCAAUUUUCAUCGAAUAACAUGAAUAAGGUGCACACAAUAAUUUGGCAAUUUCUAAAUGUUGUUCUAAUGUGGCGGACACAAAACUUUUAUCAAUACCAUUGCAUGUGCAUUCUUAAAUUGGCGGAAUUUAUUUUGGCUAUUUUGUUCUAUCUGCGAAAAUAAAGUAAGCGAAAAUCACCUGCUAUCCGGUAUCCAUCAUAAAGUUGGAAAACUUGUUUCAUAUAAUUGAACAGAUGAUGUUCCAAAUAAAAAACGAAUUAAUAUAUCAUUUGUAUAUUGUCUAUUUUAUUAUUAGAUUCCAAUAUUACUGACUGAUAUCUUAAUAUGUAAUAUAUAUGUACAAAGUAUACGAUUUUUUUUAUCCUCCGAUAAGUUUGCAUGCAAUGGUGUUACUGUAUGAAACAUGUUCAAAACAGGAACAACUACAUUUCACAAAUAAAUGUUUUGGUCUGGUGACAGUAUUCAUCUAGUAAUCUGGAAGUUGAAAGAGCCGCACAGUUUGCUGGGUAACCUGAAUAUUGUUGAUCCUUGUUGUUCGGUUGACUUCCGGUAAAUUUGAAAUAACUUGAUGAAUUUGUAAUUAACCAUUUCCAUUCUCCUUCAUUCUCACCAUCAGUUGCACCAACGAAGAAUUGAUCGUUUGCACCUGGAU
Molecule: long non-coding RNA, 748 nt
Filed under: Mytilus galloprovincialis (Mediterranean mussel)
Lineage: Eukaryota; Metazoa; Mollusca; Bivalvia; Mytilida; Mytilidae
Source: RNAcentral